Transfer RNA from Limnothrix rosea, 73 nucleotides. It matches the Rfam family "tRNA". From Rfam's summary of the family: Transfer RNA (tRNA) molecules are approximately 80 nucleotides in length. Their secondary structure includes four short double-helical elements and three loops (D, anti-codon, and T loops). The record is from Rfam. Lineage: Bacteria; Bacillati; Cyanobacteriota; Cyanophyceae; Pseudanabaenales; Pseudanabaenaceae.
GCUAACGUAGCUCAGCUGGUAGAGCAACGCAUUCGUAAUGCGUAGGUCGUGGGUUCAAGUCCCAUCGUUAGCU